Molecule: ribosomal RNA, 391 nt
Filed under: uncultured bacterium
Lineage: Bacteria
Description: bacterial SSU rRNA
Rfam family: Bacterial small subunit ribosomal RNA
Source: RNAcentral
AAUGAACGCUGGCGGCGCGCCUAAUACAUGCAAGUCGAGCGAGAAGACGUAGCAAUACGUUUGUAAAGCGGCGAACGGGUGAGGAAUACAUGGGUAACCUACCCUCGAGUGGGGAAUAACUAGCCGAAAGGUUAGCUAAUACCGCGUACGCUUCUUGGACUUCGGUUCAGGGAGGAAAGCGAUACCGUGGGUAUCGCGCUCUUGGAUGGGCUCAUGUCCUAUCAGCUUGUUGGUGAGGUAACGGCUCACCAAGGCUUCGACGGGUAGCUGGUCUGAGAGGACGAUCAGCCACACUGGCACUGCGACACGGGCCAGACUCCUACGGGAGGCAGCAGUAAGGAAUAUUGCGCAAUGGGCGAAAGCCUGACGCAGCGACGCCGCGGUGGGGGAU